Molecule: ribosomal RNA, 215 nt
Filed under: uncultured bacterium
Lineage: Bacteria
Description: partial 16S ribosomal RNA
Rfam family: Bacterial small subunit ribosomal RNA
Source: RNAcentral
GACGAACCGUGCGAACGUUUAUUCGGAAUCAUUGGGCUUAAAGCGCGUGUAGGCGGAUUCGUGCGUCUGUCGCUGAAAUCCCCCGGCUCAACCGGGGAAGUGGCGUGGAUACGACGAGUCUGGAGGGGCAUAGGGGGACCUGGAACUUCCGGUGGAGCGGUGAAAUGCGUUGAGAUCGGAAGGAACGCCCGUGGCGAAAGCGAGGUCCUGGAUGC